Molecule: ribosomal RNA, 253 nt
Filed under: uncultured bacterium
Lineage: Bacteria
Description: partial 16S ribosomal RNA
Rfam family: Bacterial small subunit ribosomal RNA
Source: RNAcentral
UACGUAGGGUGCAAGCGUUAAUCGGAAUUACUGGGCGUAAAGCGUGCGCAGGCGGUUUUGUAAGUCUGAUGUGAAAUCCCCAGGCUUAACCUGGGAACUGCAUUCGAGACUGCAUUGCUAGAGUAUGGGAGAGGGAAGUGGAAUUUCCGGUGUAGCGGUGAAAUGCGUAGAUAUCGGAAGGAACAUCAGUGGCGAAAGCGACUUCCUGGACCAAAACUGACGCUCAUGUGCGAAAGCGUGGGGAGCAAACAGG